RNAcentral lists this long non-coding RNA (1139 nucleotides) under Helianthus annuus (common sunflower). Lineage: Eukaryota; Viridiplantae; Streptophyta; Magnoliopsida; Asterales; Asteraceae. The record is from RNAcentral.
AUGGGCCUCUGAGCGAUUCAGUUUUAAAACAUAUCUGAAUGAAAAAUAAAGACCUAAAUACCCACGUACGUAACACACGUUCCUUGCAUCUUCUCUUCUCUUCUGGCGGCCACCAUCCAAGCAAAUCAACUGCCGAUUCCAAGCAAAACUUCGAUCACAACCAGAAAUGGCACAAAAAAGGGUAGGAUUAGUUGGAAGCAAGAGAGUGUUGACAAAACAUUUCUUGAAGCAUGUAUUGUAGAAGUAACACUCCAUGGCCGUGAAGGAAGCAGCCUUAAACAAAGCUCAUGGAAGAAUGUGGCGGAAAAGUUGAAAACCGAACACAAUUUCAUAGCGGAUCAAAAACAAAUGAAGAACCACUAUGAUUAUCUAAAAUCAAAAUUUGCUGCUUGGUCAAAGCUUAAGAACAAAACUGGCAACGUUUAUAAUCCUGUAACAAACACCUUUAACUUGUCAAAAGAAGAAUGGUAACUAGAGAUAAAGUCAAACAAAUACGUAGAAGCUUUGAGAAGCGCGCCACUUUCUUUCCCCGAGCUUUGUGUUCAACUGUUUGAGGGAUCUACUUCGAACGGCUUUGACAGUUGGGGGCCAUCUUCUACACUUCCUCAUCCUUCUGUGGAAAUGUUUGACCACAAUUUAAAUGGUAUUGAGGAUAUUGAGUGCGGUCAAAUGGAACCCCCAACUCAAGGUUUUACUGAGGAGGCAUCCGGUCGCUCUAAAAAAAGGGAGAAACGAAAAGAUAAGGCAACAAUAGAUGAAGUUGGGGAUUGCAUUACUAAGGUGGCAAAGAUUUUGAUAGAGAAACACAAUCUUUCUAAUGAUAUUGAUACAUGCAUGGAGAAGUUGGAGACAAUGGGAUGGGGAGAGUUAGAUGUGAAAUAUCAAACAACACUUUUGCUUUUUGGUGAAAGUGCGGAUAUUAGGAAAGUGUCGUUACGACUUCAGCCGCAAAGUUGUGAGCUACAGGUCAAGAAUGCUGGAGCAAAGUAUGGAUUGAUCGGAUAGGGUUUUGUGGGUGUCACGUUAUGGAUGUUUUAUGCAUAGGGUUUUGUUGCACAAAUUGUUAUGGAUGUUUUUUUAGAUGAUUCUGUGGAUAAUUGUUAUGGAUGUUUUUUUAGAUGAUUAUGUGGAUAUUAUGU